ACGGGUGAGUAAUACAUCGGAACGUGCCCUGUAGUGGGGGAUAACUAGUCGAAAGAUUAGCUAAUACCGCAUACGACCUGAGGGUGAAAGUGGGGGACCGCAAGGCCUCAUGCUAUAGGAGCGGCCGAUGUCUGAUUAGCUAGUUGGUGAGGUAAAGGCUCACCAAGGCGACGAUCAGUAGCUGGUCUGAGAGGACGAUCAGCCACACUGGGACUGAGACACGGCCCAGACUCCUACGGGAGGCAGCAGUGGGGAAUUUUGGACAAUGGGGGCAACCCUGAUCCAGCAAUGCCGCGUGUGUGAAGAAGGCCUUCGGGUUGUAAAGCACUUUUGUCCGGAAAGAAAUCGCACUUACUAAUAUUAGGUGUGGAUGACGGUACCGGAAGAAUAAGGACCGGCUAACUACGUGCCAGCAGCCGCGGUAAUACGUAGGGUCCAAGCGUUAAUCGGAAUUACUGGGCGUAAAGCGUGCGCAGGCGGUUGUGCAAGACCGAUGUGAAAUCCCCCGGGCUUUAACCUGGGGAAUUGCAUUGUGUGACUGCACGGCUAGAGUGUGUCAGAGGGGGGUAGAAUUCC
This 576-nucleotide ribosomal RNA is filed under the name uncultured bacterium. RNAcentral's name for it is "bacterial SSU rRNA". It matches the Rfam family "Bacterial small subunit ribosomal RNA", at positions 102 to 670 of the family's 1533-position model. The record is from RNAcentral.